This is a long non-coding RNA of Seriola dumerili (greater amberjack), 470 nucleotides long. RefSeq lists it as uncharacterized. The transcript is spliced from 3 exons. The record is from RefSeq and is a predicted model, not a curated record. NCBI's taxonomy places the organism in Eukaryota, Metazoa, Chordata, Actinopteri, Carangiformes, Carangidae.
CUCUGGCCGUGCACUUGCGGCUUACUGCUGCAUGACCGCUGCUUCCGUGUCAGACAAGCGACAGUCACAGGUGAAGAAGAGGAAGAAGACGCACAGGAAUGGCAGAGAAAGUUCAGCCAGUUCCACCCAAGGCUUUGACUUCAGCAGCAGCUUCACUCGUAAAAGGAAGAAGGUAGCAGAAAAAGCUGCUACAAAAAUAAAAUUGGACAAUUUCAGAGGCCGAACAAGUGUCCACAUUGAUGUUGCUUUUCAACUAUGGCAACAACUGAGGAAACAGAGGAGCUAAAAAGCGAUGCGAUGGUGGCUAUAUUUCUGUUAGACAGGGAUUGAUGAGACCACCACCCCUGCUCCACCAUUUCAUUGAUAUCUCUCCCACUGGACAGGUGCUGCCAUAGCAGAAGAAGCCACAAUGCCCACAUGACGCCACAUGCAGAGCCUGACCUGUCAGCAGACACUCCCCUCUGCCUAUA